This 1437-nucleotide ribosomal RNA is filed under the name uncultured Gammaproteobacteria bacterium. RNAcentral describes it as "uncultured gamma proteobacterium 16S ribosomal RNA". It matches the Rfam family "Bacterial small subunit ribosomal RNA". Lineage: Bacteria; Pseudomonadati; Pseudomonadota; Gammaproteobacteria. The record is from RNAcentral.
UGGCGGCAGGCUUAACACAUGCAAGUCGAACGAUGAUUAUCUAGCUUGCUAGAUAUGAUUAGUGGCGGACGGGUGAGUAACAUUUAGGAAUCUGCCUAGUAGUGGGGGAUAGCUCGGGGAAACUCGAAUUAAUACCGCAUACGACCUACGGGUGAAAGGGGGCGCAAGCUCUUGCUAUUAGAUGAGCCUAAAUCAGAUUAGCUAGUUGGUGGGGUAAAGGCCCACCAAGGCGACGAUCUGUAACUGGUCUGAGAGGAUGAUCAGUCACACCGGAACUGAGACACGGUCCGGACUCCUACGGGAGGCAGCAGUGGGGAAUAUUGGACAAUGGGGGCAACCCUGAUCCAGCCAUGCCGCGUGUGUGAAGAAGGCCUUUUGGUUGUAAAGCACUUUAAGCAGGGAGGAGAGGCUAAUGGUUAAUACCCAUUAGAUUAGACGUUACCUGCAGAAUAAGCACCGGCUAACUCUGUGCCAGCAGCCGCGGUAACACAGAGGGUGCGAGCGUUAAUCGGAAUUACUGGGCGUAAAGCGAGUGUAGGUGGCUCAUUAAGUCACAUGUGAAAUCCCCGGGCUUAACCUGGGAACUGCAUGUGAUACUGGUGGUGCUAGAAUAUGUGAGAGGGAAGUAGAAUUCCAGGUGUAGCGGUGAAAUGCGUAGAGAUCUGGAGGAAUACCGAUGGCGAAGGCAGCUUCCUGGCAUAAUAUUGACACUGAGAUUCGAAAGCGUGGGUAGCAAACAGGAUUAGAUACCCUGGUAGUCCACGCCGUAAACGAUGUCUACUAGCCGUUGGGGUCCUUGAGACUUUAGUGGCGCAGUUAACGCGAUAAGUAGACCGCCUGGGGAGUACGGCCGCAAGGUUAAAACUCAAAUGAAUUGACGGGGGCCCGCACAAGCGGUGGAGCAUGUGGUUUAAUUCGAUGCAACGCGAAGAACCUUACCUGGUCUUGACAUAGUGAGAAUCCUGCAGAGAUGCGGGAGUGCCUUCGGGAAUUCACAUACAGGUGCUGCAUGGCUGUCGUCAGCUCGUGUCGUGAGAUGUUGGGUUAAGUCCCGCAACGAGCGCAACCCUUUUCCUUAUUUGCCAGCGGGUUAAGCCGGGAACUUUAAGGAUACUGCCAGUGACAAACUGGAGGAAGGCGGGGACGACGUCAAGUCAUCAUGGCCCUUACGACCAGGGCUACACACGUGCUACAAUGGUAGGUACAGAGGGUUGCUACACAGCGAUGUGAUGCUAAUCUCAAAAAGCCUAUCGUAGUCCGGAUUGGAGUCUGCAACUCGACUCCAUGAAGUCGGAAUCGCUAGUAAUCGCAGAUCAGAAUGCUGCGGUGAAUACGUUCCCGGGCCUUGUACACACCGCCCGUCACACCAUGGGAGUCUAUUGCACCAGAAGUAGGUAGCCUAACGUAAGAGGGCGCUUACCACGGUGUGGUCGAUGA